Molecule: ribosomal RNA, 525 nt
Filed under: Triticum aestivum (bread wheat)
Lineage: Eukaryota; Viridiplantae; Streptophyta; Magnoliopsida; Poales; Poaceae
Description: partial small subunit ribosomal RNA
Source: RNAcentral
AUGAACGGGGACACACCAUACGGCCAGGGGCCUCUUGAUCGCUGCUUGGGUCAUUGGUGGCGGUGUUGGCGUUCAAGGAUGGGGCUGCGAUGCCUUCGGAGUCUUGGAAAAGCAGCUCGGGCGGAGGAAGAGGACGCGUCCGGUGUUGGAGGAGCUGGGCCGGAGACGCCUGAUCUACUGCAGUCAGUUUCAGGUUCACGGCCAGGAUGGUGGAUUCGUACUUCGAUGGCCAGACUAUCCAUGUCAAGCGGCGGCAUGAGAAGAGCUCCGGCGAGGUCGUCAUGUGCCGGUGCAUCUCACCUUCAAGCACAUGCUGCAGAGUCCGGCUGUUCAUUAGUUCUUUCUUUGCUGGAUGUUUGGCGCGCUGGCGCUGAUGCUGCAUGGAAGCAUUGGAAGCGGAAAAAAAAAUUCACAUACCUUCCUGGAUGGAUUCAAGUGAUGCUGGGACAUGUACAGAGAUGGAGCUCAUUAUAUAUGGAGACAGGUUUUGAAUUGGGGUGUGCUGUUUCCUACCUGAUGGUGUAG